CACAGAUUAACCACGUCUAUUAAUCACAUCGCGCACGUAUCAGUCAGUAUUUUGAAUUUCGAUUUGCAUUCUUUUUUUUUUUUUACGAUAGUAUAUCUGACGUAAGCGUUCGGAAGUUCGCUAUCUUUGACUGAAAAACACAUCGAGCUGAGAAACUUGGCGGACAGUUAAUUUCCAUUUCGCCGCGCCAGUUAAAAGUUAAUUGCAAUCGCAUGGCCGUGUCUGCCGGACGUGUGAUUAGAGUCACGCCGUCAGGCUUUUAAUGUGUAAUGUGUGCCUGCAAUUAACGAUAAUCCGAUUGAGGCCAAUUGGAGGACACGAGCGCUUCUUCUCGCGGGAACAAAGCUGAUUACGAACAGCAGAACAAAUAGUUACACAGUCGAGCGCGAGAAUUGCAAGUUUCGCCGACAUUUUCAAAUUAAAACGUACAGCUACUUAAAAGUAUACGCGUGUAGGCAUAUCGUGUUAUGUUCAGUGUUACGUACAGUGCUUGUAAAUUUGAAACUGGAAUUGGUAUUAUAUAGGUGUGUUUACUCUACUCGACUGGAUUUCACUUGAUCCACUUGUUCGAACGGAUUUGGAAUUAUACAAAGUGAAUUGAAGAAGUGAACUGAAGGUUUAUAUUCGUUGGAAUUAUAAAAAGAGACUAGAAGUUGUCAAUCGAGUACUUUGUCUGUAAAAACUAACCAACUACAAUAAUUACAGAUACAUACCAAUAAUAAAAUCGCGAGCUUCAGUUAUCAGAAUAAGCGUGAACAAGAUAAGAUUACAUUAUUCAACAGAAUUUGAUGUUCUUUAAUUGUGACUCUACUGAUUCGUGUGUAAAAGUGAAAAUUGAAUGUUUAAGUAUUUAAUGAAACGUAAAAUAAUAUAUAAAAAAAAAAAUAAUAAUGUGAACGAACGUGAAAUUAAUAAAGCUAUAACAUAUGUCACGAUACGCACGCGAGAUGUAAUCUUGUGCAAUUUGAUUACGUAAACGAUAACGCGUGACAGAUGAUAAUUUCAGUAAAGGAAAAGUGUGAACUAAAAUUGUUAAUGAGAUUAAUUUUUUGACAAGAGUAAAUCAAAGGGAUAGUACAACUAUAUUGUCUUCAAUCGUUCCCUACUAUAUGUGUAAGUACUCAUUCUUUCAAUGUUACUUUUAUUUUUGAUUUACACAUCUUACAUACAAAUUUUAUACUUUUACAUUAAGAGGAUUUCUUUAGUAUUAAGGAAUGUAUUACAAUGAUGAGAUCGAGACUCCAAACAACGCCAUUCAUUUAAAUUUCAUUUUUAUAGACGAUAAUAUUUGUCAGAAUCUAUUUUGAUAAUUUUUGAUUUCUAUCUAUUGGUUAUUACUUCAUAAUUUUGACUUAUCUUAUCUUCUAAUUUCUUUCAAGUAGGUAAGUAAAAUUGGCCACUCCAAAAUUAUACACUCUCUGAUUGUUAUCCAACUUCUCCACGUUCUUUUUUAAAUAUAUAUUUAGAAAGUAGAACCUACUAUCUCUUUAAACUACCCUCUACUAAAUGUUAUAGACAGUACUCUACUUUAGAUAUUUUAUUUGGAGAUUUCAUUUCUACGUAUUGUACGCAUCCUGUAUACUCUUCAGUAUCUCGCAAUUGUUCAGACUUUGCAGUAAACGCGACACUUAAUUGUAAAUUUAAAAAAGCAAACAAAAAAAAAAAAAAAAAACAGAAUACUUCGGAAUAAUUGAAACUCUCUUAUCAGUGCGUAAUUGACAAAUUUCAACAAUACUCUUUAUUAAAUUUUUUAAUAAACUUGUAUCUUUAUAUCCCUUCCAAUCAAUAUGAAACUAUCUCUACUUUGUCGUGUUCCUCUGCAACAGUAGAUACACGUUUCCGAUCCUAAUUCCGAAUACGAAAUCUCGCGGCUGCUCCACAAGUUCGAGCAUUUCUCAUCUCACGAGUAUACUUUAUAUGCACCGUUUGAGCUAAGAAGAAACUACUUCGGUGACUGGGAUAUUUAUAAACGCGAUCGGUAGUGGGAGAGCAACUGGUAAUGUAACAUUAGCAAGUCAGGUAAAAGCGAAAGGAGAGAGAAAACGGAGAAUACAGUCCAGAAUACACAUAAGCAGCAGCACUCGCUUCGAUUUUCAUAGAUCAACAUUAUUAGUGGUACAUGUAUACAAUUCCCACGGGAUUAGAAUGAGUCAUAGUACGAUCAGUGAGAUCGAAAGUUGCAGAACUGACCAGUCAGUCAAUGUUGAUCGCAUCGUGAAAACGGGAUCAUGGCACUGUGCUUUUUCUCGAGUAUAGGACUAUAUUCGAAA
Long non-coding RNA from Frieseomelitta varia, 2270 nucleotides. RefSeq lists it as uncharacterized. The record is from RefSeq and is a predicted model, not a curated record. NCBI's taxonomy places the organism in Eukaryota, Metazoa, Arthropoda, Insecta, Hymenoptera, Apidae. The transcript has 2 exons.